UUUAAAUGUAAAGUUUUGAGCUUAAUGAUUAUUAGUUAUAUUCUUUAAAGUUAAAGAAUUUGGCGGUAUUUUAGUCUAUUUAGAGGAACCUGUUCUAUAAUCGAUAAUCCACGAUUUAUUAUACUUAUUUUUAAAGUUUAUAUAUCGUCGUAGUUUGAGUAUUUUAAAAGAAUUUUAAUAUUCAGGAUUCUUAAUAAGGGAAAAAAUCAGAUCAAGGUGUAGCUUAUAAAUAAGCAGUAAUGGGUUACAAUAAAAUUAUUUAAAUGGUAUAGUUAUAUUAAAAAUUUCUGUUAAAGUGGAUUUAAAAGUAAUAAAAUUAAAUUAAGUUUUAUGAUUUUAGCUCUGGGAUAUGU
RNAcentral lists this ribosomal RNA (353 nucleotides) under Cafius sericeus. Its description in RNAcentral is "partial 12S ribosomal RNA". Lineage: Eukaryota; Metazoa; Arthropoda; Insecta; Coleoptera; Staphylinidae. The record is from RNAcentral.